RNAcentral lists this ribosomal RNA (253 nucleotides) under uncultured bacterium. RNAcentral describes it as "partial 16S ribosomal RNA". It matches the Rfam family "Bacterial small subunit ribosomal RNA", at positions 524 to 776 of the family's 1533-position model. The record is from RNAcentral.
UACGUAGGGUGCGAGCGUUAAUCGGAAUUACUGGGCGUAAAGCGUGCGCAGGCGGCGCGUUAAGACAGGUGUGAAAGCCCCGAGCCUAACUUGGGAAUUGCGCUUGUGACUGGCGUGCUGGAGUGUGGCAGAGGGAGGUGGAAUUCCACGUGUAGCAGUGAAAUGCGUAGAGAUGUGGAGGAACACCGAUGGCGAAGGCAGCCUCCUGGGCCAGCACUGACGCUCAUGCACGAAAGCGUGGGGAGCAAACAGG